Molecule: unclassified non-coding RNA, 4286 nt
Filed under: Hevea brasiliensis (rubber tree)
Lineage: Eukaryota; Viridiplantae; Streptophyta; Magnoliopsida; Malpighiales; Euphorbiaceae
Source: RNAcentral
GCCAGAAAUUUUUUCUAAAUUCAAUAUAUUAUGAAUUUAAAACAGAAGAUUUACAUAUAAAACGAGUAAAGUACACACAUUUAUUUAAAUUUUCCUUAUUUGCAACAGAAACUUAUCGAUAUACUGGCCUUUUGAUCUGGGUAGCAACCCACUUUCAAAUCCAAUUUAGUUUUGAGUGCAACUCGCAAAAUGACAAGAUAGUAAGAAACAAAACUCUAUUCUUUCUUUAUCCUCCGACUAAAUUCAUCAACAAUACAACAAUGCGCAUUAGGCUAGUCGAGGAGCCAUGUUACAAUUAUAACUAUCAAGGGUUAAGGGUAUAGUCAGUAGGGAAAACCAAUAUUCUAGGCUCGGAUUAAGGUCAAGAAAUAUUCUUCCUCUUUUCUCACACGUCUUCACUAUUAACUGUUUUCCUCGUCGCCAUGAGACUGAACAACCGAAGAGUGGUUGCUUUGUUCGAGGUUUGCUACUGCAUCUGGUCCAUACAACCUUGUCAAUUCUUCCUUAAUAGAAUCAUUUUCAGAUUUAAGUUUCUCGCAUUCUUCAGAUACCCUCCGCAGUUCCUCUCUAAGACUGCGACUGUCAUUAGUCAAAUUCUCUACCCUAGCUUGUAGCUCUUCACACUCUGCCUGCCAAGGAUGAUUAAUGAAAGAAAAAGAUUUAACAACUUAUAAAAAGAUGAGCUGGUCAAUAUCUUGUAAACUUCUAAAGAAAACACUUCCCCAAACUUUCAGUUGCUUGGGUUUUCUGUUGCAGACUAGAGGUUAAAUGGUGCAUUGAAGAGAACAAUGGGAGGUUGGAAGUAACAAACAGAGAAUUCCGAUUGGUUGUGUUGUUGGUGAGAGUAGCGUCUGUUAUGGAUGAGCAGGAACUGCUAUUGUAAUCUGUUACAUUUCUGUUUUUCUGCUGUACAUUUGGUUAUAAAUACUUGUACAUCACAACUGUAAACCAUUGAAUGAGAUAAUGACAGUUUCUUCUCUUUGAUUUCUUCCCUGUGCUUCUUCCCUUUCUCUAUUUCUGUUCUUCUAAACUUCUGGUUCGUCCCACUUUCUAACCUAAAAGCAUAAGAGAAAGAAUUCCUACCAAUUUUUAGCAUUACAAUAUAUUCUCCUCUUAGUUCUUAGGAAAAGUCAGAAUACACUGAACUCAAACAAGUUUUCACUUGGACCUUCAACCAGAAGAGUAUAGCCAACCUAGAUGUCCACAUCUCCACAUAUAACCAUUAACCAACGAUAUCUAGCCCAGUUAUUAUCAACAUAUUAUGCCAAGUGUCCUAACGAAGAUAGAUAAGCUUGAACAGAAUUAAGCUCCUUUUGCCCCUCUGGUGCCUGCUUCCGUAAUCUUGAUCUUCUGGCUGACUCCCUGUUAGAUUGCUUCCUCUUCUGUCUUUUCAGUUCACGCUCGUCUUGUAUCCAUUGUUCAGGCAUUAUUGCAGGAACUAUUGCUGAUGAGGCACCAGAUGCAUUGGUUCUCAUUUUUGCAGCUCCAGGAGCAGCAGCAGCAGAUGCAUUCCAUAAGUCCAUUCCAAUAUUUAGAUUAGUUGCAGGCAUAGAUACGGCAGGUUUCCCUGGCACUGAUGCCCCUGCCGUGUUAUUUUGCGCAUUGGCAUCUGCAAGCAUCUGAUUGAAACUUCCCAUCUUAUUUGCAGCAAAUUCCUGUUGAUUCUCAUCACUUGCAUCUGAGGUGCCAUCGCUACCACUUUCAGCACUAUUUACAAGAAAAGCAUUUCAUUAUCAUGCAAAAAUUCAUUUUAUGGAAAAGUAGACAAGUAAACAAUGAGACAGGAGACACAUCUAAGCAAAGCAUUUCAAACUAAAAAUUUAGCGAUUAACUUUGCUUUGGCCAACCUUUGAGAGGCGCCAUCAUUUCCAGAACCUGAAGUUGCCUUUGCACUCUCUCCUGCCUUUCCUGCUGAUGUUCCUUUGGAUUUUUGGGCUGAAGCCCGAUCCUUUCCAUCAGCGGUCUUGCCUUCUAACUCUGUAUUUGUUUGUGCUGAAUUUGGUGUCUACGGAAGAGAUGAAAAGCAAACUAAUUGGAUGACCAAAUUAACACUGACAAAUUAUAUUAAGACAGGAAAUAGUACUGGAAUGCUACAGUUCUUGACAGAACAUGAAAAAUGCAAACACACUCAAAAGCUAUACACAUCAACUACAUGAGAAAUCAUUCAAUAUUACCAUGGUCAUAUUAGGAUGGGCAUACACUCCCCCAGCAGGAUAUAAAGCUGGGUAUGGAACUGGGGUGCCAUAGGGUGGAAUUAGAGGAUGCUGGCUGCCCCAGAUAUAUGGAUGAGGAGUUGGAGAUGGUACAGUUGAUGCAAAAAAAGGAGGUGGAGAAGCUCCAGCACCAUAAUAAGCCUGCAUAGAGUUUGACCAAUCAGGAUAUGAGGGUGUUGUUGGUAUUUCCUGAGUCGAUGGUGCUGGUUUGGAAGGCCGAGCUGGUGUGCUCUCUUCCCCAGUCCCCAUUCAAUCAACUCAGUAAGUACCAAUAGUUUCAACACUUACAAUUGGCUUAUAAAUGGCUUAUUGUCUACCACAGGAGAGGAGAUAUCUAUGAAGCGCCUGCAGACAUCAUAAAAUGUAACCAUGUGUGUUAGAAAUCAAAUAAUUCUACCAUUAAAAUUUCUCAUUACUAUCAUUGUUGUGCAACAGUGAGAACAUAUAAAACACUGCCUCCAUAUUGAUAAGUAAUCUUAAAAAAAUCUUCCACAUGAAGCUGGGUCAUUGAGCUCAUUCAUAACAAGUGAAACAUGCAAAAACAACCGCAAAUGACAAAGAAUGAACCAUACAAUAUAAAGCUUAAAUUGUUAUCAGCAUAAAUUGCACGCUGUAAUAUCACUUUUUCUUGUGGAUGGUAACUUUUCGAUCAAUAUUACAGCAAUCCCUAAUAUUAUUUUGUUUACUGCCAAAUCCUUUAGAAGAAAGAUUAGAGAUGAAGCUCUUUAAAGAUUCAGCAGCAAAGUAAACAGCACAAGAAAAAUCACUUCAAAUAAAUAUUCCAACUUAUUCCCAGUUUUCUAGCAAAGUUAUAUGCAUUUUUCAAGCAAAGCAAAAGACCAUAAAUGAUUCUGCUCUUUGGCUAAGUUGCCUGACAUGAUUUAUAUGUUGAAAGAUGUCAAUACUCCCUUCAUACUUGCUAGUGAUCCCAAACAUCUAAGCUUAAAUUACAAGCCUUUCUUAGUUAUUUUUGGCUCAUAAUAUCAUCCAAUUUGACUAGCCAAACUAGAAUGAUGCAAUGAAAAAUUCAAGGGAAAGGGCAAUAAAGCAAACAGCUUCAUAACAUAAUUUUCUCAAAAUCUCUGCAUUCAAAUACAAUUAAAGACGAACCUAGGUGAUCUAUUCAGUACUACUGAUGCUCUGAAUUUGCUAUUCAGAGGACUGAGCAUUGAUUCAUCUCAAUCCCAGUGGCUGGGUGGACUCCAGACUCCCAGGGUACAAAAAAGGGACACAUUAUAAUUUUUGAAGAUGGGGAAAUAUUGGUUCUUGUCACAAGUACUAGCUAACAUUGAUGAAGAUUGAGGGACAAAUAAAACCCUAGCAUCCUCAUCAUGAAUUCAGAAGUAACCCAUCUUUUUCAUGACCUAUCAAUAAUUUUGACAUGACAAAAAUCCAAACCUAGCAAAUUUUCAUAGAUUAUACUUGCACAAAUACCACAAAUCCAUUACGGCUACUACAUGGACAAAUUACAGCAAGUUGGCAUUGUGCCCUACACUCUAAUUUGAGUAAAAUGAACCCAUCAUAGAUAGGUCAUCAUCACACAGACUAAAAGCACGCAUAGCAACAGUAACCAAUAACAAACAUUUCUUUGACCGUUUAUUUAUAACAAGGGAAUAUAAGCUAGUACCAACUUUAAGAAAGAUUCAUCACUCAUUUUUUAAGCUAAAAAAAUCAACGUCAACAUGCCUUUCUAUACAUCCUCAAAUUGACAAUUGAAAUGCAGAUUUUCAACAGCUAAAAUAAAAUUCCAAACAUUCACACAUAAGUAAAGCUAUGCUUAGAUAAGUACAGAAGUGAAUUUCCAAUUCCCCACAACAAUCUGAAAACUCAAAACAAAACCAGACCCAAUUGAGAAAGAGAAAGAAAAACAUGAAUUACUAAUAGAAAAUUUUAUGAUAAGCAAGAACAAAAUUAAGCUCACCUAACUGAUUACACAGCAUAGAAUUACAGAUCCAGAACCAACAUAAAUAAAAUUAGAAGAAAAAAAGCAAACAAGCUAAACAGGGGCACCCAAAAGAUAGAUAAACAUGCAGAAAACAGUGUAAAAUAAGGGGUUGUGUGUGCGACUAUGUG